Molecule: long non-coding RNA, 182 nt
Organism: Dermochelys coriacea (leatherback sea turtle)
Lineage: Eukaryota; Metazoa; Chordata; Testudines; Dermochelyidae
Exons: 3
Source: RefSeq, a predicted model, not a curated record
UAUACUGAAGGUGGGUCUAAUCUACACAAUGCAGAGAUCUACGCUCUGAGAUUGAUCAACCGGCAGUCGAUUUAGUGGGUCUAGUAAAGACCUGCCAAAUCAACAGCAGACUGCUCUCCAGUCGACCCCUGUACUCUACCACUGACGAGAAGAGUAAGGUAAGUCGAUGGGAGAGUUUCUCC